This 377-nucleotide ribosomal RNA is filed under the name Clostridioides difficile. Its description in RNAcentral is "bacterial LSU rRNA". It matches the Rfam family "Bacterial large subunit ribosomal RNA", at positions 361 to 741 of the family's 2925-position model. The record is from RNAcentral. Lineage: Bacteria; Bacillati; Bacillota; Clostridia; Peptostreptococcales; Peptostreptococcaceae.
AGGUAAUAGUCCUGUAUGUUAAAAGAGAAAACUUUAGAUAUGAUCCAGAGUACAACGGGACACGUGAAAGCCAGUGGGAAGCAGGAGGGACCACCCUCCAAGGCUAAAUCCUACCUAGUGACCGAUAGCGUAAAGUACCGUGAGGGAAAGGUGAAAAGAACCCCGGGAGGGGAGUGAAAUAGAACCUGACACCCUGCACUUACAAGCUGUGGACGCACAUUUCUUGUGUGACCGCGUACUUUUUGUAGAACGGGCCAACGAGUUACGUUAAGUCGCAAGGUUCAGCACUUAAGUUGUGGAGCCGUAGCGAAAGCGCGUUUUACCUGAGAGUUACGUUACGUGACGUUGAGCCGAAACAGGGCGAACUACACACUGCC